CAACCUGCCCUGAAGCGGGGGACAACAACUCGAAAGAGUUGCUAAUACCGCAUGUGUAUCGGAAUGGCAUCAUUCAGGAUACAAAGCCGCAAGGCACUUCAGGAUGGGCCCGCGGCCUAUCAGCUAGUUGGUGAGGUAACGGCCCACCAAGGCUUCGACGGGUAGCUGGUCUGAGAGGGCGACCGGCCACACUGGGACUGAGACACGGCCCAG
This 213-nucleotide ribosomal RNA is filed under the name uncultured bacterium. Its description in RNAcentral is "partial 16S ribosomal RNA". It matches the Rfam family "Bacterial small subunit ribosomal RNA", at positions 122 to 334 of the family's 1533-position model. The record is from RNAcentral.